Molecule: long non-coding RNA, 177 nt
Organism: Suricata suricatta (meerkat)
Lineage: Eukaryota; Metazoa; Chordata; Mammalia; Carnivora; Herpestidae
Exons: 2
Source: RefSeq, a predicted model, not a curated record
GCUACAAAAUCCCAUGUCUCAACUGAGAAAGAGAAUAAAGGAGAAAAAGAAUGGGAAAGAAAAAUAAGGGUUCCUGUUCUAACAAAUUAAUGCACUUUCAACAUGCAUUGAUAAUCACACAUGAAAGUGAACUUGAAUUUUAGAGACUUAAUACUAAUAAAGUGUGUUAGUCCCACA